GAUGAACGCUGGCGGCGUGCCUAAUACAUGCAAGUCGAGCGAACAGACGAGGAGCUUGCUCCUCUGACGUUAGCGGCGGACGGGUGAGUAACACGUGGAUACCCUACCUAUAAGACUGGGAUAACUUCGGGAAACCGGAGCUAAUACCGGAUAAUAUAUUGAACCGCAUGGUUCAAUAGUGAAAGACGGUUUUGCUGUCUCUUAUAGAUGGAUCCGCGCCGCAUUAGCUAGUUGGUACGGUAACGGCUUACCAAGGCAACGAUGCGUAGCCGACCGGAGAGGGUGAUCGGCGACACGGGAAGGGGACCACGGUCCAGACUCCUAAGGGAGGCAGCAGUAGGGAAUCUGCCGCAAUGGGCGAAAGCCUGACGGAGCAACGCGGCGUGAGUGAUGAAGGUCUUCGGAUCGUAAAGCUCUGUUAUUAGGGAAGAACAAAUGUGUAAGUAACUGUGCACGUCUUGACGGUACCUAAUCAGAAAGCCCCGGCUAACUACGUG
RNAcentral lists this ribosomal RNA (497 nucleotides) under uncultured bacterium. RNAcentral describes it as "partial 16S ribosomal RNA". It matches the Rfam family "Bacterial small subunit ribosomal RNA", at positions 28 to 507 of the family's 1533-position model. The record is from RNAcentral.